Molecule: non-coding RNA, 2048 nt
Filed under: Pongo abelii (Sumatran orangutan)
Lineage: Eukaryota; Metazoa; Chordata; Mammalia; Primates; Hominidae
Source: RNAcentral
AUUAACAUCUUGUCCGCAUCCCACAACAGGCAGAUGGCCCUGUGCAGGGCUGAGCUGGAAGAGGUAACCAGGGCCUCCUCGCACCUUGCCCACCAGAGUGAGCCUGGCCUGCAGCUCCCUGCACUCCCGCUGCAAGGCAGCAAUCUGCUUGUCCUUGGCCAGCAGUGCACUGGCUGUCUCACUGAGGUCCCGGGCUCGCUGGCGGGCUAGGGCCUUCCGACACAACUCCAAGCUGGCCCCCGGCCGGGGCAAAGGGGCACUCACCUAGCCAGAGGAGGGGUUGGCUGAGCUCCUCCCCACCCACAAAGGAGGCUGCGGAAGGCGCCAGGGCUGCUGGAGCUGGAGCCAGGGGCUCCUGCCCCCAACAGGAUUCCUCACAUCCCAGGACCAGCUGGAAAACGCGGUGAGAGUUGGAAAGAGACUGCUCAGUGAGGACUGCCCUGUGAACCAGCUUGGAUUCAUGGCAUUCACCUCCACGUUCUGCACGCAGGGCCAAGGGAAGGGAGGCAGCCCAGGCAGCUACAGAACUUGAUGAAACACACUCAAUCUGAAUCUCGCUUGAUCGUCAUGCUGACCCAGUGAGGGUCAGGCACCCUUCCCGACUACUCACUCAGCAGCGGAUCUCCACCCGCCUCUGACUCCCAGUGUCUUUCGGCUCCAACGUAAGUUCACCGAACGUCUAAGAGCUGAGGAUUCAAAGGCAUGUACGACCGCCCGUGCCCUCAGCUGCAAGACCUGUCCGCGAUCCUAUGAGCCCCAUUCCGCCCUCUUUCCCCGACCUUGGUCCCCCAUGGGCCCUACAACCAGGUCCCCGACUGACACCUUGACCAGCGAACACAGCAAACAGGCCCUUAGAUGCCGCAGGUCCUUCGGCACCGUCUCCAGGGCCAUCUUCGCCGAUAGGAAGAGCAACAGGGAGAUAGACGACAACAGCCUGUGCACCCGCAGGAAGUAAAUAGCUCGUUACCCAGAAUCCCCGCCACUUCUGGCGCUUAGACUUCCUCUUCCGGUGUGGGCGGGCGCCGGCUCCGCCCCUACCCCCGCCAGAGGAGAUGGUUUCUCCCACCGGCAGGCGGGGAGGCGGGGCGGCCGGCCGCCACCUGGGCCGGGGCGCGUCCCAGCCACCUGAGCCCGCCGAGGGCGCGGCGGAGGCUGUGUAGGGUAGUCAGCGGGCCCCCGGCGGGGGGGACGGAGGGGGCGGCUGCGCUUGCGCGGGAGUGUGUCGGGCUGAGCCGCAGCGCCGAGACGCGGGCCGUUUGAUCUGGGCUGCUGGCCCUGGGCGCCGGUCCUGUUCCCCGAUGGUAACCCGAAGUUUUUUUGUUUUGUUUUGUCUUCCCGUUGUAGAAGCACUGGGGGCAGUGAAUCCACUGUCUCCCUCUGGAUUAUGUCUGGAGAGACCCAGAACGAAUCCAGGGACAGCCCCACCCCUCCUUCCUAACUGCGAGAGCGCUAUAGGGUUUCCACUUGCUUCCCACAGGAAUGCUGGCCUGGGAGCUACGGCGGAAAAAAUGCGUAUUUAUCUUUUAAAACUCCGUCUGUUUGCUCGUUCCGGCUCAUAAUUUAUACUUUGGGCAGUUCUUAGCACUUAGACACGGUUCCUUUACUAAAGAACAUUUGUAGAAGAUUAGGUGUCCUUUUUUCCGCUUUCAUUUCGCCGUCUAGGAAGCGAAAUGCCUUGUUCUAUAGGCACCAAACCACCACCCCUACCAAACCUUUCUCGGGGAAGCAGAAGGGGAACUUGUGCCUUGUGAGGAAGCGACAAAGGCCCUUUCUGGCCCUGGAGACUUCAUGCCAAUGGAGCACCAGCUGUCUGUCCUCGCAAUAGCCCGAGUGCAGGCAGAACGCGGUCAUUUGUGUUUAUCUGAGAGGAGCUUUGGGAUAUAAAUAGUUUCAGGCCCCGCUGCUCUAUCAUUCCAGCCCAGCCUCCUGAUUGAGCUGCUUCUGGGCGGGCUUGCUUCUUGUUGACGGUCCCAUGCUGUGUUCAGAUGGGCUCUGUGACAGGUUUGGAUGUUUUCUAUCACUGAAUAAAACUUUCCACUUUGGAACAU